ACAGUGCAUUAUGCAAUUUAUGAAGAUGUUGGUACUUUGAAUGUUCCAUCUGACACACUGGAAGAAGUCUUCAUUUGGACAGAACCGGUUUUCUAAAAGCAUAUGUGAUUAUGUUAUAGUUAGCCUAAGUAAAAGUGGAUAGAAUUGGACAAUCCCAGUGUUCUACUAUUUCACUACUAAGUAGACGAAGAAGUGAGGUGUGACUCUUUGAAGAGAAAACUAUAGAAAUUGCACAUAUUAUUUUAUAAAUAUCAAACAGCAUUCAGUUUGAAUUUGUACGUUAGCUUAGUAGCACAUGUUUCUCCUAGCUGCUUCACCCAUUGGUCUGGAAAAACAUCAAAAGGAAAGAUUCUGAAGGGGUAAAAUUGAAAUAGCCCUUUCAGAUAUUAGCAUGAAGCCUAUAGACAAGCUUUCUCUCUUAACCAAGCUAGAUAUAUCAAGCUAAUAUUAAUCCCAUUUAAUGAAAAACCAUAGCUGUUUCUUAUGGUCAUGUUUUGUUUCCCCCCCCACCAAACUGUGUUUAUGUCGACAAUCAGUCGAUUAAGAUUUGUGGGGGAAUAUCUUUGCACAAAGCGGCUGCUGAUUUCAAUAAGCAACUCAGCUGUGAUUUAUAGACUUAAUCCCCCACAGACAGUGUGUGCAGCCAGCUCUAAUGAAAUACAUUGGUUUGGAUGUGAUCUGAGGAGUCAAGAUAGCUGCGCCAUGUGGUAAAGAACAUAUGGAUCAUUGAGCUCCUCUCCAACAUUCCUGAACAAUCUGGACAGGACAUUGAACGUUUUAUCACCACCAAGGACUUAGCAGUUGCCCUACGGAUGCAUCCAGCUGCCUGUUCCCAGCGGGAGAAGCAUCCUCUGGAAAAACAGGAAAAGACCUCUUGCACAUUGCUACUAAAACACAACAUUGUGACUGCACUGAAUCUUAUUGCCACUCUUUCAUAACUCUGAUGACAACUAAUUCCUGCAUUCCGGCAGAAAAAGACGUAGGAGCUGCAAUCUCUCUCCAAAUCUGACUGAGACUGUCUGAGGCCGCAAGGGGAGGGGUCAGUCAAUCAGUCAUUCAGUCAUUGCUCUGCCUUCAACAUGGCUGAGUUCACUCGAGGUUCAACCCUGCCCAGCAGAGCAGUGUGAAACCCAGUCUGCCUGCCACACUCUGGAACACACUCUGCUGAACCCACGGCACCAGGGGAAGGAAAUGUUUUCUACUUGCUGUUAAAACACAUGUCCUACCGCUUUCUGUUUGUGUGCUAAACUGCUUGAGCUCACAGUCAAGGCAUUCAAAGAUAGCGAUCAUUAACAAUUCUGGGUGGCUUUUCCUUUAGAUGGGGAGGGCAUUCAUCUUGGGGAAAUAGAAGAGGAGAGACAUGUUUAACGAGGGGGUCUUUUUUGAUUUCCCAGGACAUGUACGACUUAUGCUUUUCAGCAUGCCAGACAUUAAAGAAAUGGCCGUGCAUAGGCCUACAGCACUUGAGCAACCACAUAUAUGGCUGUGUUUCAAGGACACAACCUUAAGUUUAUUUUGCUGAGGAGUGAAGUUGAAAGUGUGGGCGUAAUUCUGAGAUUGUCUCUGGACUUCAACUUUCCUUGAACCCUGUCAUUUUUAGUGUUGGGGGCACAGCUGCAAUGAACGCUUGUAUCCACAUCUUCAGUGUUCUAUAGCAUGUAAAUCUUCAUGUAUAUUGAUAGCAGGUUACAUAACAUCCUCAGCAGCUGCUGCCUCACAAACACACAGGAAUUUACAUGUUCUGUACGCGGUUUCUCUUUUUCAAUCUGUGCAUGCAUAUGUGUGCCUGUGCAUGCAUUUUAUGUGCCUAUGUGGAAUGGAAGACAUUAUGAAACUUCUUAAUGAAAAGGAGACCUUUAGCAGUGGUGUAAGCUGCUUCAAAAGCAUUCACACUAAAGGAAAGUGCUACGCCUUAAGUGGUUAAUGUUUAUCCCACAAUAGAGGAGGUGAAACCUGGUGUGUCUCUUUAAGGUACACCAUACAUGGCAGGCCCUCUGCUUGUUGUAGCACAAAAAAGAGCUGCAUUCAGUCUUUCCCUUUUUUCACUUGUGUGAUCGAUUGUGCCAGGCCGGUUACAUGCUAAUUCUGCCUGAUAUGUUUAGAAACCUAUUUAACUUUGUAAAGACUUUAUUUCAGAUGCAGUGGUGUUGGCUUAGGUCAGUCUAUACUGAUUACCCCUCUGACUUAAAACCCUGUAUUUUCCUUGAAACCCCCCGCCAGCACGCAGAUUCAAUUUCAUUUUCGGUGGUCAAAACCAGAUAGGUAAAAAAAUGGUUAAACCCACACACAUAAUGUGCAGUGGAAGAGAAGCCAAUGAGCCGAGCAGAUGCCGAUAUGUGUUGUCUUCACUUUAUGUUUCCCUUUGUUAAAUGCGGUGGACAGAGGCUCUGAUUUUGCUCUUCCAUUAAGUCGAUGGCUUGUAUGAAACAGAUUAGGGGAAUAGUAGGAUAUGAGAUACGUAUGGUGUUACCUACAGUUGUAGGAUAUUCACCUCAAAAGCUUUGUUUUUAAUGUUAAAAUAUGACUUAAUAAAUAUUUAUUUGACCUGAAAACAAACUAACUCUUUAAAAUCAUCAAACUGGCAUAAGUACAUAAAUAACAACCAAAAGAGGUGUGGUUCUUCUUUUAGUUAUCUCUUCAAAAAAAAAAAAAAGUCCAGAGGCUGAGAUAUCCUGAUUUUAGAACGAUCCUAUGAUUACCAUAAUGAAACAUAAAAUCUUACCUUAGGCCUUACCAGACUAGUUAAUACCUUAACCUUUCAAAUUCAGUCUCUCAGGUCCUAUACUGACUCAACUGAAUUUGGUGACCCUGAUGAUUCACAAAGCUCCAGAACCAUAGAAAACACAAAAGGACUGUAUACUCUGUCUGGGACUGCCAAUAAUAUACGUAAACUCACCUUUAUUAGUUAAAUAUACCCCUUUAAGUUUACCACACUAGUUUUUUACAAUGUAUCUGACAACUUUGCAUUUUAUCAGUGGACAUUUACCCUCUAGCCACAGUCAGAUGUUGUAUAAGUUGUGACUUACAGUGGAAUGUCUGUUAAUACUUGUACUCUUUCCUCCUGUAGCCAAAAGAGUAUCUGUUCAUUUCCACUGUGAUGCUUGUGUUUCGUCAUUGAGUUGGAAUUCCACUUGUGUCCAAUACAUCAUUCAUGUCGUCAUGAAGUCACAUCUGGUCAUGAAGCUGCACCGUUUUGACAAGCUAACAAUAUUCUAUCUGUUUUUGUCUGGCUUGACCUGCUUCAGCAAGGUGAUUUAAACAUCAUCUGACCAGCAGUGCCCAUUAAAAUCUAACUCAGACCAUGGAAAGAGUAGUAACCACCUUUAGCUGGUCUUUUUCUAAGCCAUCUCAAGGUCGACCUUAUUUAUUUGGCGGUUUAAAGUGCCAGAAAGAGGAAGGAGAGUUUGAUUGACGUGGACGGCCCACUGGCCCUGACAUGGAAUUACAUUUAGAAAUCAAUUACAGGCUAUAUAAUGGAGGAAACACCCCUGAGUGGCGCACAAGCAGCAUUUGAUUAAGGCAGAAGCAGAGAAAAAUAUUACUGUUAAAACACUGCUGCAUACAUGGGAAUUAUAAUACAUGUAACUGCAGAUUGAUGGCAUCUGGAUAGAAAAAACAAGAAAAUCAGGGUGUAAAUAAAAUAAAUAAGAAAAAACUAAAAGAUCCUAAUAUUUGUCAACAUGUUGAAGGAUGGCUCUAUAAUGAAUACAUGAUGACAGCUAUUAUGUUUGAAAUGUAUUAGUAAUAACUAGGGAUCAUACCUCUUACUUGAGAUGAACACAUUUCUUCUACAGAUUUUCUUUUGGACUACAACAAUGCUUUGUCUCAUGCAGAUUAGUUGCUUGGUUUCCAAGGCAACUUGUCUAUUAUCUGUCACUACAUAUUGGCCUGAAAGAGCCCUUACCCUUUUCUUCACUGUGACCCCAGGAGGCCGUUUCCCUCCCACCCUCAGGAACACUGUGUCAAUGAUAAACCACCCAGGAACAUCCACAGUGAGCAGCAGAACCAGUAAUACACAAGCAGGCACGAGACAGGACGUUGCAACAGAGAAAAGAUAUUGCGAGAAACAUACUGCUGAGAGAUCAAAAAUAAUAAAACUAAAAGAGAAGCUAUUCAGUGUGUUCUGUAUUUUAUAAGGCAUGACAAACAGCUUGAUGGUUGAAAACAGAAAUGUAUGCAUGGGUGCGUGUGAAGCAUACUGGGUAAUCAUUUACAGCUUUGGGUUGUAAUUCAUGCGGCUUGUUUGUUGUUAAAAAAGUAGCGUAGCUCAAUCAAAAAGGUAGUCAAUGCCAGAAUCACUUUCAGAAGAAUCCAAAUUCAGUUUACUCUGCUGAGAUGCCUGGUAAACCACCAAUUCUCGCAGGCAGGAAAAACAGCACGCUCGUACAGACCAACAAAAACCACAAAACACUCAUUUUGCACAAAAGAAAACACAGCUUUAAAGCAGGAGAUUUGUCAUUCAUUUGACAACUCAGAAUGCCUUCUUGUCUUGCAGUCGUAGUUCCUCUUUGUAAGCUUUAUUUCCUCAUCUAUCAGGUCUUUUAUACAGUAUGCUGUAAUGUAUAUUCUGGUAUGUACUGAGUUCAUCUUGAAGGUUGAUGUGUUAUUGAGAGGAAAUUGAUUAAAUGAAUAAAGUUUUGUGCCAUAAGCUUAUGAAAUCAAAUACAAAACAACUAUCCAAACAACUGCGAACAUGGAUAUAUAAAAGGCUGACACAGAUGGUGGUGGAAAGCAACUUAAUCUACAAUUUUGAGGUAUUAGUUCUAUUCUUUUUAAUAUUAUUCAAAUGUAUACCUUCUACUCCACUACAUCUCAAAUGUUGAACUCUUUACUUCUAAAACAAAUCUAUGAGUAUAUAAUAUACAGUGCAUUGCUAUAUAGUAAAUUUAACCACCCAACAGUUUACAAAAAAUAAUAAAAUCAACUUCCUUUCAGCCAACCACAACAUUAAAAGCCUACAUGCAUCUUAUAUGUUGCUGUAUCAAUGAUAAUAAUCUUAUAUUAAAGUGACCACAUAGCCCAUUUGGAUGCUUGCUAUGUUCUUUUGUAAUUUAGUUACAUUCACUUUUAAAGGGUCGCUAUUAAACUAAUUUUCAGGUUAAUAUUUGUAUUUUGUGUCUCUACUGUGACAUGUUCACAUGCUUUGAUGUUCAAAAAGCUCUUUAUUUUUCUCAUACUGCCUGUGUUGCAGCUCCUCUUUUCACCCUGUGUCUGAAACCAGAACCCAGUCUGCUCUGAUUGGUUAGCUGGUCGGCUCUGCUGUGAUUGGUCAACCGAUAAAAGAUGUCCUGCCUCUUUUAUUACCUAAUGUAAUUAUCUCUUAAAGUCUUUAGUUACUCAUGCUAGUCAAUUUUUGAUGUCCCAUAUGAAAACAGAUUGGUUGUGCCAUGAACCAAACAGGGAUGUUUUCUAUCCAGGCCUCUUUUUUACCCUCUCAAACUAGAUGGGAAAAAGUGAUUUUCCCAUGGAAAUGUCAAUUUAAGAGUCAAUGAUGUCAUCCAUGCCCGCUCAAGAAGAAACACCCCUGAUUCUAACAUGUAUGAGGUAAUAAUUGGACCUGCGGGACUAAGUAGUGGAGUAUCCUGCAGUAAUAGUUAAGGAUCUGAAUCAGCACAGAGGCGAUUUCAGCACUAUACAAGAGGUCAUAAGGUCAAUAACAACUGAGCAUGUUUUCCACCGACACAGGAGGGGGCAGAAGGAAAACACAAGAUGUUUGCUUUCGUCGACUUCCCUUUAAGUGAGCUUUCAAAGGAGUACACAUGCACCCUAAAUGAGCAUAAUGAGAGAUGGGAAGGUAUUUAUUUAUAAAGGACCACCUACGUAACCCACUUUUGGAUAAAAGAUGGACCUAAACAAUUACGAGGCAGAGGAGAUAAUGAAAGAGUGGUAUAAGUAGUAUAAGACGCACAAGUAUAGGCAACUGCUGUGUGAUAGUCAUUCUUAAAUAUUUAUUUUCAUUUCAUGCUUGAAAAGUUCAGGCAUUUUCUUUUGUGUACCCUUGACGCAACCACACUCGAACCACACUUUACUCCUGUUUAAACUUAGAACGUGUGUGUCCUCUAACUCUGCAGGCUGUACUCCGUCCUGUGUCAACACAAUCAGGAGCAUCUACAUCUAGUAGAAGUCAGUGGGUUUUCAAACUGGCUGUUUGUCCUGGGGGGGUCCCUUACAUACUCCCUUGAACAAGAGACUGGCACCUGCAUUUGCCCUGAUGAAGAACCAGCAAUUUAGAAGCAGAAGCAUUUUUUCUUAUCAUCGCAAUCCCCACUAAGGCGCUGCACAACUUGUUUGUUGGUUUAUCCUUAGGCCUCAAUGAAGCUACGAAAAAUGUUUGGCAAAUUUAACAUGCUAAAUUCAUGAAAAAAAACAAAAACUUAGAUGGAAAUAAAGACAGAUUUACACUUUAAGUAAUAAUUUAGGAUCCAAACAUAUUGUUAUGUAUCAAUACUGUAUAUUCAGAGUAUUGUAAGUAUUUAGUGGGCUGCUACUUUUUUCCAAUAUUAUGUCUCAUUCAUUUUCCGCAUUCUUUCAGUAUUGAGCGUUUCACCACAGCAUAUACACAGCAAGACUCUUUAGGAACAUAGUAGCUUUUGUUAAGUAAGUCACAUGAAUAAACAAUGCACUGCUGAUGGGAGACUUGCAUUACUUGGGUGUUUUAAUGCCAAACAAAUACAAGUCUGCAGACCCUGUGGGCCUCUUAGACCUCCGUUUAUGUCCUUUCCUGCAUUUACAUCACCACUUAGAAGUGCAGUGGUCAGCUGUGUGUAUAUAUAUAUACUGUAUAUAUGGUGCAUGUGCAGGCUGUGUGUCACAUACUUAAACCAAAGGAGUAAUUGCAUAACUCAUUGCAAAGCUGCAUGGCUUACAACAUGCAGUAUGUGCUGAAGAUAGAGCAUUACUGAUUGUUUUUUCACAGAGAGAACAUGUGACUUUGUGAUAAAACAUGUGAUUAUUUUAUCCUACAAGGGUGACAUCAGAUCACUUCCAUAUAGCUUUCAAAUUUGUUUUCAGCUUAGUGCACUUUAGUAGGCUAUAGGAUGAAAUAGCUCUGCUGCUCUAAUGCACUGCUAUAUUAACAGCCGCCCACAUGUCUAAAUCGACAUGUUUAAUUUAGAGGUUUGGUGCACAUAUUUGCUGUAAGUGCAUUUUAGGGUCGCUGGUAAAUGACAGAUUAUUCACAAUUGUGUGAGCCUAUGUAAUCCGUUUCCGCUCCAGUUCAUUCUGUGCAGACCUCAUGUCGUCAUACUGUAGCAGCCUACUGUGGGAGCGCUUCAGCCUCGCAGACAUGAGCAAACAGCCGAAGAAUCAUCCAACAACGAUGCACUUUGCACGGCUGGGAAUAAUGCCGACAGCUGUUAAAUGUCCAAAUAAUAAUUACAGCACGGAACAUUAAGUAGCGUGAUUAUGCGAUCCUGCUUUUUGAUUUGAAUGUUUUAUCUAAAUUGUUAAGAUUAUAUGCUUUAAUGUUAAAAGCUUUGUUUUGUAUUUUAUGCGUACAUUAUAUUUUAAUAAAGUGUAAUUUUAUUUAUAUUAUUCUAUAAAUUGUUAUGAAUACAUUUGUAUUUUUUAUAUAAAUUGCAGUAGUUAUAGUUACAGUAUUAUUUGUAUUGUUUUCAUUCUGUGUACAAGUCCAACUAAAAAAAUUAACAAAAAUAAAACAAACUAACACACAUUCCACAUCCACAAAACAAUAAAAUACAAUUAAGGAAAAACACAAUUUUACUACUUAAGUAGUUUAGUUAGUAGAAGUUAGUAGUAGUUAAGUAAUUUAUAAAUUUUGCAACAAUACCACAUUAUAAAUCCAUUUAUUUUGUAUCUUUUUUUUUCAUGUUGUGUAUUAUUGUUUUGUAUAUUUUGUUUUAUUUAAAUAUAUACGUUUUGCUUUCUGUUAAUCACUCUGAA
Eleginops maclovinus (Patagonian blennie) is the source of this 7902-nucleotide long non-coding RNA. RefSeq lists it as uncharacterized. The transcript is spliced from 4 exons. The record is from RefSeq and is a predicted model, not a curated record. Lineage: Eukaryota; Metazoa; Chordata; Actinopteri; Perciformes; Eleginopidae.